GGAGGCCACGCCCCUGGGGCGGGGCUGCGGGCUCGGCCUCGCGGCUCCAGGCGCCCCGCACUGCCCGUGGAACCACGGGGAAAGCAGCCCGGCCCAUCCCCCACGCUGGCGGCUUGUUUUCCUUCCACAGGCGGAAGGAAGGGAGGGAGAGAGCACUCGCACCCGGGACUGACCUUUGCUCUGUAAACUGUUAAAGCCUGAGCUUGGUAGGCUGGGGCCAGAUGUUAGAGACCCACAGGAUUAAAGAAUGUAAGCUUCAGGAAAAGAAACCUUGUUGUCUAGUGGAUAGUCAGCUCCUAGACCAGGACUGAAGCAUAAGAGACCAAGAAUAAUUGGCUUUUCCGCUUCUUGCUUCCUCUGCCUCCAGUGACAUUCUACUAGAUAUUUUGAUGGCUACCUUGUCAUCAGCUUCGAGGAUUUACAUAAAAUUCGCCUUUUUGUUAUGGAGUACCUACCAUAGAUUCAGGAGUGAUAACAGGUAAUUUGGAGAGGACUGCUGUGUAUUCACGGAGCUCUUUGGAGAAAGAAGACAAUCUUUGUGCAGGAGAGCUGAGAUUUCCGGAGAAUCAUACUAAUUAGUGAAACUGAAGGACAAAUUGGAGAAUGUAUUUCUAAAAUAUUUUGGUAUGUAUUGAUGUCUAUGCACUUAACAGUGCCUUUGCUUAGAACACUUCAUCAAGCCUUGGUUUCAUUUUUGUCUUUCAGGAUCUCAGUAAUUGCCCCAUUUCACCUUGUCUAGAUUGGCCUCCAUCAAUUAAUCUCUAUCUCCUCAAUGUGUUAAUUUCCUCUGUGAAAGUUUUCACAAUUUGUGAUUAUUUUUUCUCUCUAUUGAUUUAAUUGUUUAUUGGUCUCUCAUAUCAAGCCUGGAAGCUUCAUGUAGCCAUCAAACUUUGCAUGUUAGCAAUAUAGGUUCAGCAACUUGCAUAGUGGCUAACACACAGUAGGAGUUCAGUAAAUACACAUUGAAUGUAUUAAUGAGUGAAAUCAAACUUAACACUUUUUUUUUUGGCAAAAUUUCUACUAGCUCAAAAUCACCUUAAGUGACAUGUUUUAGUGUGUGCAAAAAUCAGAUAUUCCAAGAAGUCGCUCACAAAUUAUGUGAAGGAAUUAUUUAUUAUUACUUCUAGUAUAAAACUUGUAGAAUUAUGACAAUAUUUAUGCAAUAGCAAUAGGGAAACAUAGAGUAAUAACUGCUGAAAGAAAUGAUAAUUCUUUUCACUUUGCCAUCAUUUACAUUUUUGUCAACUUUAGAAAAGGAGAAAAUGGUGAGAAAAAUCUGUAAAGAGUUUACACACAAAAGAAUAUUUCAACGAAGGAAAAUAUGUCAGCUUACUAUACCAUAUUUUGUUCUUUCAAAAUAUUACAAAAUUGACAUAGGACAUAAUGUUUGAUGUUCUAAGAAAAAUACAAUAUGUUUAGGAAACUGUAUAUGUGAUAUGGAUGCAUCACUAUGAGAACUACAUAAGGAACGGCUAACAUUUCAAAAGCACAGAUUUUCAAAAUGGUAUGUAUAUGUGUCUAAAAUUGCUGGUGUACUAUAAUUAAUUUUUAUUCUAUUUUAAAGGGUCAUUCACUUAUCUUUUACAGACAAUUUUCACAGCUUAUCAUGAAUCCUUAGAGCUGCUAUGGUUAGGCCAAUAUAUUUACAUGAAUAGUAUGUAAAUGCAUUUAAGUAUUUAAGUAUAGUGUUCUUGAUAUAGCCUAAGGUGUCUCAUAUGAAUAUAUCCAACAUUUUGCUUUUUGAGGGAGAUAAAUGUAUUUUUAUGCUUCAUCACACAUACUAUAAAUAUCCUUUAUGCUUGUACUGUAUUCCCACCUUGCUUCACAUCAUUCAUUUAAUUUUUUUAUAUAUGCAGCAUAAUAAAUGCAUGAUGGUAAAUUCAAACUUUCUAAGAGUCUGACCCACGUUAAGUCAAUUUCAUAUCUUUCUCCAUGCUUCACUGAUCUGGUCAGAAUAUGUUCUUCUUUGUAUAUCAACAAGGAUUCUAUUCUGUGAUUGAAGCUAUAAAAUCAGAUGAGAACCUGGGAAAUACCAGAGAAAUAUUGUUCAAUGGUAUUGUAACUGUGAACAAUUUUUUUUUCAAUUUUCUUUCUCCAAAAAAAAAAAAAAAAAAAAGAACCUUCUUUGAAAUUACUUAAAAAUCACAGAAGGCUAAAGCUAGUUCUACCACCUAAUUUUACAGAUGAGGGAAAUGACACACAAGUACUGAUUUAAGGUCACAUUUCAGCUAGUGGCAGAAACAAGGAUAGCACCCAAUUCUACCAGUGCCCAAACCAAUGUUCUCAGGCCUCACUCAUCUUUGCUGGUUGUUUUAGGAAGGCAUAGAAAUGGUGGUGUAGUGGAAAGAAGUGAAUGAGGGCUGUAAUAGAAAGUAGCCCUAGGCUCUCAUACUUGUUAGCUGUGUGACUUUGGCUGUGGGACAAUCCCUGUGAAACUCAGUUAUCUUAUUUAUAAUAUGUCAACAGUAAUAACUGACACAUAAGAUCAUUUUCAGAAAUGAAUGAAAUGAGGUAAUAGAUACUGCAUACAGUGCCUUGCUACAUGGUAGGCAUUCAAAUGCAAAGUACACAUUACUAUUAUGACUAUUUGUCACCAGCAUUAUUUGGAGAAUCAUUAUUAUAAGCGUGAGUGAUCAUACAGCAUUCUACAGUAGGACAUGAUCACUUGGUGGGGAGAGCUCACCUGACAUUGGAAGAAUCCAGCAUGGGUUUGGCAGACUGUGGCUGCACCUUUGGUUUAGAAGUAAUUAGUACUACUCAACCAAGGUAAUCUGGAAAUUGGCUCUCAGACCACAUUUGCAAUUUUAUGUGGAGAGAAAUGAUUCAAUAUUCAGUAAUGGUUAGGUACUUUAAAUGUUCAACCCUGAGGUCUUUGUGUAAAUAGGAUUGUUGUCGAAAUGGAAUAGAAGUUUUGUGUGCAAAAUGACAGUGGGAGCAGCCCGUUAAUCAGAUUUACACAGAAAAGGAGGGGAUGGUGCCCUCAUGUGAAUGCCAAUGAGAAGAUGUGUUGAAUGUGGAAAUCAGUUAUUUUUAAUGUUAAAAUAAAUAUUAGCAGUAAUAACUAGACAUAGAGUUGUCCUUCCUGCCUGUAUGUUUCAUAAUGCAGAAAAGAAUCCAAUGUCUGUUUGUCAUGUUAUGUUUGAACAAUAUUUAUCACUUCAAAAAUUCGCUAAAAUAGCUUGUAAAUUAAAUAAGUUUCAUAAGAUUAUACAGUGAUUGAAUAAAGAAUGGAAAAAUUAGGGAUAAGCUGCAUGUGAGGAAGUAUUUUGGAAUAAUGGCCACUUUUGUAAUAAUAAAGGUGAUGAUAAUAAAAAAUACUUCACAGGUCAAACCAUAUGUGUGUUGAUCUGGAUGUGAUUCAUGACUUUGCAUAAUUUUGUUAUUACUGUCAGCAUGACUUUUACUGGAGAAAAUACUAAUCUAGUAAGAGUGUUAAGUUGCGGUAUCUCUAGAGCUCAGUUUCCCGCAUUUAAAAUAAGAG
This is a long non-coding RNA of Herpailurus yagouaroundi (jaguarundi), 3481 nucleotides long. RefSeq lists it as uncharacterized. Lineage: Eukaryota; Metazoa; Chordata; Mammalia; Carnivora; Felidae. The transcript is spliced from 5 exons. The record is from RefSeq and is a predicted model, not a curated record.